CGCAUCUGUGCAUGCAGCAUAUCAAUAAGCGGAGGAAAAGAAACUAACAAGGAUUCCCUUAGUAACGGCGAGUGAAGCGGGAAGAGCUCAAAUUUGAAAUCUUCAAGGGUUCUACCUUUACGAACUGUAGUUUAAAGAAGUGUUUUCUGUUAGAUGAGUUAGGUAAAAGUUCCUUGGAAUAGGACAUCAUAGAGGGUGAGAAUCCCGUAUUUGACCUUUACUUUCAACUUUGUGAUACACUUUCAAAGAGUCGGAUUGUUUGGGAAUGCAGUCCAAAAUGGGUGGUAAAUUUCAUCUAAAGCUAAAUAUUGGCGAGAGACCGAUAGCGAACAAGUACCGUGAGGGAAAGAUGAAAAGAACUUUGAAAAGAGAGUUAAACAGUACGUGAAAUUGUCAAAAGGGAAGCGUUUGACACCAGUGUUGUUUUUCUGAAAAUCAAUUAAAGAACUGUUUAUGCUAAGCUGUUUAGACUUUAUCAGCUAACUGUUUAGUUUUGAGCUUUUCUUUAAUGCACUUUUCAGUUAACAAGUCAACAUCAAUUUCUUUUGCUGUAAAAAAGCUUGAGGAAGGUGGCUUGAGAUUCGUCUUAAGUGUUUAUAGCCUCUUGCCUAUGCAGUCGGAGAGAUUGAGGUCUGCAGCGUAGAUCCUUCGGGGCUAAAUGCAUUUGUGCUAAGUUAUAACAUUUUAUAGACAACUUGUUGACUAUGAUUUGUCUUGUAGCUUACUCGCUUAUGUUAUUUUACCUACGCUUAGGAUGUUGAGCGCAUGUCUCUCUCU
Molecule: ribosomal RNA, 777 nt
Filed under: uncultured Neocallimastigales
Lineage: Eukaryota; Fungi; Neocallimastigomycota; Neocallimastigomycetes; Neocallimastigales
Description: partial large subunit ribosomal RNA
Rfam family: Eukaryotic large subunit ribosomal RNA
Source: RNAcentral